CUAGAAAUCUGUCACACUCAGAGCCGCCCCUUUUUAGUGAGAAAAAAAGGAUGGGAAUCACAAGUUGAGAAGUUCAGACAUAUUCUGGUUUUAUUUUUGUCACAAAAUUUAUGGUUUAUGUCAUUAUCUUUUGUUAAAAAUUGGGCGUUUUAUUAUUUUAUUUCAAGAAAACAUAAAAGGGUCUUAGAGAGUUAGAGAUAGCAGACUUUGUUGUUUUCGCUAGGCAGCUGUAUUUGCGAGAGAAAGACUUGUUCCAUUCCUGUGGCUUUCCUUCUUCCUUUUCCUCCCAAGAAAGCACAGAAAUUUUAUUGACUGCAAAAAAAGAAGAAGAAGAAAACCUGUUUACAAGAAUGGAGAUGAUGUAUUACCAGCUUGGAAGGAGCUCCUAUCAAGAAUCCUUGAAAGUUCUCGAGUCAGAUAUCCAGCAUGCAAAUGCUCUGGCUGCUGCAAUUCCGAGACAAAAAGGCACAUCACACCUUCAAAUGGAACUGGUCUACAAUCAGUUGGCACCGCUUUUCCUGUUUUUGCUUCGUUGGAUUGAUUGUUCCUGCACUUGUCUGCUUUCCGACUACCUAAAUCCCAUUUACAUCCUCAUUUAUAAGGUAGAUGCUGAAGGAAGAUUAAAAAUAUCCCGACAUGGAAGGAAGGCAACUGUUAGCGAUUUUUAUGCUGUUAUACUGCCAUCACUUCGUCGACUCCAUUUUGACUUGGUGGAAUUUGGCAAUGCCAAAGAUGCCUGGGAAAGCAUUGUUGGUAAGAAAAGAUUGAAAGGGGAUUCGAAAUUUGCAGAGUUUGAUAGGGAGAGAGAAGCAGAAUGCGGAAUAUGCUUAGAACCUUGCACCAAAAUGGUCUUGCCUAAUUGCUGCCAUUCAAUGUGCAUGAAUUGCUAUCGUGAUUGGAACAUGAGAUCGGAGUCAUGUCCUUUCUGUCGUGGUAGUUUGAAGAGGGUCAAAUCCAAAGACUUGUGGGUUCUCACCUCCAAUGAUGACGUGGUCGACCCCGAUGCUGUUUCCAAAGAGGAUUUGCUGCGUUUCUAUCUCUACAUCAAAAGCCUCCCUAAGAAUUACCCAGACGCGCUGUUCUUGAUGUAUUAUGAAUAUCUAAUAUGAUGCAAACUCUUUAAAGAUAAGAAAAACGCCCAUCUUCAAUGUAAAUAGAAUCCGAAGCCUUGGUUGAGGUAAAGAUCAGCGACUUGUCGUUGCAUGGCUUCUGUGAUAUGAAUACCAUCCCAACUCACGUAUUUUGCAGGGUCUGUGCAUGCGGAUGUGGUCGGGGAGCCACACACCAUUUUCGGGUCGAAGUUGAGAUCUCCUUUGCCAGUUCCGCAACAUGCUUUCUUAGUCUCUUCCAAGUGGUACUUUGCUGGGGUCAUCACUAUUGUUUCGUAUGCUUUCCAGAAGUCUGCAUACAAGAUUGAACAUUCGUGGCAGCGCCUUUGGAGUUCUCCCACUUUGCUUUUAAGUAUUUGAUUGUGUAGCUUUAUUGCCGAGUUCACAGGAACAGCACAUCCAUUUUGGUCAAGUUUAUGCCCCUCGGAUUGCGACACACUUAGAGGAAAGCACCCCAGUGGCGGAAAUUUCUGAACCAGUGUACCUGUGUCUGAAUGGUCAUAGGUAUGCCUUUCCAGAUUACGUGUGAGAGGUCUUGAUUUGUGAAGUAUUUGUGCUGGAGAGACGAGGAUCCGGCGAUUGCAAAGUUGACACCGGAUGUGGCUGUGGAUAAGGCCCCGGGGGUGGCGGAGUAGCUGUUUUUGGAAAUGUUUAGCCAAGGCUGUGGGGAUGGCAAAGAGAAGGAUGCAGACACAUAGUCCACCGCCAAUUUACCGUUGGAUAAUCGGCCUCCAGAGCGCUGGCAGUUAGCACCAAAGCUUCCUUUAAGGCUUGUCAUUGUGCAAGCAUUUCCGGUGUCUGUGUAUGAGCCCCCGAAGGCAUACACCGCGGAGAAGGUGCUGCCAUGUUUCCCCUGCAAACUCCCGCUUUCUUGGGCAUAGACAACACGAGCAUAUGUUGAGAAGAAGAACAAGAAGGAUGUUAUGAAGGAGAGGGUAAGAGAAGAGGAAGACAUGGUUUGCAUGAAAUUAAAUUUUUUUUUGAUGUUUUUGUAUUCAAGAAAUGCUGCACAAAUGUUAUUUAUGCAUUAUUACCAUUGGAGCACAGGAUUUAGAUGAGUGGACACCCGUGUUUUUAGUGAA
Ipomoea nil (Japanese morning glory) is the source of this 2191-nucleotide RNA transcript. RefSeq lists it as uncharacterized. The transcript has 7 exons. Lineage: Eukaryota; Viridiplantae; Streptophyta; Magnoliopsida; Solanales; Convolvulaceae. The record is from RefSeq and is a predicted model, not a curated record.